GUGGCCUAAUGGUUAGCGCAUUGGACUCUGGAUCAAGCGGUCUAGGUUCGAGCCCUAGCACA
This 62-nucleotide transfer RNA is filed under the name Desmophyllum pertusum. RNAcentral's name for it is "tRNA-Gln". Lineage: Eukaryota; Metazoa; Cnidaria; Anthozoa; Scleractinia; Caryophylliidae. The record is from RNAcentral.